UCUCGAUGGGAUAACUCUGUUGGUAGAGCAUGAGACUCUUGAUCUCAGGCUUGUGGGUCUGAGCCCCACAUUGGGAG
Molecule: non-coding RNA, 77 nt
Organism: Podarcis lilfordi (Lilford's wall lizard)
Lineage: Eukaryota; Metazoa; Chordata; Lepidosauria; Squamata; Lacertidae
Source: the annotation of a GenBank genome assembly